CGCGGCCGUACGGCGGCCACAUGGCAGCGGAACCCUUCGGUCGGGGCUGAGCGGCGGCCGGCCGCGCGCUGGUAGCGGGCUUAUGGAGCCUAACCGCGCCGCGGGGCGGGGGAAACGCGGCACCCUGCACGGCUCCCCGGGCCUUAUUUCUGGUGUGGGAGUGGGCACUCAGCCCGGUGCGGGAGGUUUGUUAAGCCUCGUUGAUAGAUCUGUUUUCUGCGCAUCUUUUGUGCUUCUCUUUAAUCGCACUGGUAGUGCAGGCAGUUAGUUGGCUAACAAAAGCAGUAGCGGGGAAACUGCCUCGCUUAAAACAUUCAGAGUGACCCUGCAGAACGGUGCCAGACAACGCGGGGUCAAAGCCAGCGCAUAUCCGGACUUGGGGAAAUGGGCCUGUCCUUUCAGAAUCAAUAACAUUUUGUUAUUUAGCAAUGUUUAAUGAAUAGGGCAUCCCCGCCGCUCUCUGAAGUAGGUGAGCAGUUCCAUUUCUUGGAGAUGAGCAGCUCCCAGGGCCCCAUGCCCACGAGGGACUGCGGUGGGACAGCUGCAGCUCCCUGGGCUCAUUGCAGCUGCUGCUCCAAACCCUGCAGCCUUUCUCCAGUAAUCAACUUUCAAGAGGAGAUUUUUUUUUCUUUUUUUCUCCAUAAUAGCUAUGUUCAUGAAAAUGACCUUAUUAAUUAGCAGUAUUGGGGUUGAUAUUUUUAUAAAUCAAAUAUCUUAAAAUGCAGAAUCGAUGCAUAUAGUCGUAUUAGGAAGUUACAUUACAUAAGACAAGAGACUUGGCAGAAGGAAACAGACACAUCAUUCCAUUACUUUGUCUGUCACUACUACCAAGUAUAUCCUUAUUUUCACUUUCCUUUUGAUAAAUACCUUCUGUAUUUUCCUCUGUUGGCAGUGGAAGCAUCAUUUCAUUUGCAGAUAAAAGGCUCCCGUGAUGUAGAAGAGGCAAAAGAUGUCAAAUUAUGUUGUCAAUUAAUAACAUAACACAGCAUUAUUGGAAAUGUUCUUAUGUGUACUAACUUGAAUGUUUGCUGAAUUGGUGUAAUUAUUAGAUGCAUAAAGAUUGCAUGUUAAUAUAAAACAAGCUUCCUGUAACAUGCUGUUAAUAGGUAAAACGGCUUUCUUAAUUGCUAUUCUAUGGAGAAAAACAACCUAUGGAGAAAAACAAAUAAAUGUUUUGGUCAUGUUGCCAAUAAAGUAUCAGUAAGUUUUCGUCUGUAAAAAACAAUCCUAUAUUUCUUCCACUUUUCCCUUAGUUAUCUGCAUUCUGAUAAACUGACUGGGGUUGUUGGAACAAAAGCAUUGCACGCUUCCCAAUGUACCAUGUCCUAAGAGAAACAGAUCUAGUGAAUAAAUACACAUGCAUUUAUUGGUAAUAAAAUGCACAUUCCUGUUUGAAGCAGGAUCAAACAACUGAAGUGAUGGUUUCUAUUGAGAACCAUAUGGCAUUUGGAGCCGUAGCUAUCUGCAGUAUGCUCAUAUCCAUGUUUCUACUGCCAGUGUACUGACUGACAAAUGUAUUCAAAAGGAUUUGUGAAAAUAAGACAUCACAGUGUAGUUGUUUCCCUUACUGCACUGCAUUACCUCAUGUUGCUGAAGCUCUUGCCAAGGCUGUACCCCACUGUAUGCUACAUACUUAAUGUAUGCUGAAUGGGAAAUAUGAAAACCUGAUUUUUCUGUCAUGUCACAGGAUCUUGCAUUCAUAUCUGCAAAAGAUGAGUUCAAAUUGCACGUUACACACGAGUUUUCUGUUGCAUUUUCAGUACACUCCCAACAUCUUUACACAGAUCUGUGAGUCUUUGUGUGCGUGCACAGCCUUACGUACUCAGAAAGUAUUUGUAAAAGCUUAGAAACCUCAACAGACCUUUUUUUCCCAUUCUGCAUUGUCAACUGAAAUAGUGGCAGGUGCUUUGCUGUUUUGUAGCUGUGCAGUAGUAAAUAACAAACCUGGCUUCUGCUCUUUAACACUCAAUUACGCACUGAUUUUAACACUCAGCACAGUCUUUUUUUUUUUUCUCUCCUUUUUCUUUGGUUUCUAUCAAACACCAAACCAUUUUAAAAAAAAAAGGAAUCUAAUUGGAGCAGAGUUUUGGGUUUAUGGGCAUAACAAGAGGCGAUUUCUAAACGCUAAGUUACUGAAAUGCAUCGAUAGGGCUUAGUUUUGAAUAGCACAGAAAGGGUUAAAUUUACAGUAGAAUAUGUAGCAUUCAUUUGUGUAGUUUGCUUUGAGAACUAAAGAAUUAAUGCUCACUUAGAUGCAGAUAGUUUAAUACUAACGUAAAAACUGAGUACAUGCAGAGGAUGUUGCUAGAAUUUGCAUUCCUGUCAUUCUUUGUUCACGUUCAAAAUUAUUAAUCAUGAUCACAUACUUUACUUUUCUGCAGGAGAUGUGCUUCAUUCCAUGCAUGAGUGGGCAGUAGUGAUUCCUAAUUUCUUUCAAGCUGUGUUUCUGGAUAUUUAUAUUCCUUCUGUAACGACAUGGCCAGCAAAAUAAAUGAAAAUCAAACAUAAUAAUUGCAAAUGGAAUAACCAGUAAUAUUUCAUGUUAUGAUUAUUCAAAACCAGGGUGCUUUAUAUUAAAGCAAUUAAAUGUAAGUUGGAUGCAGAUUUUUUGAAAAAGUUUGGCAUUUCUGAUAGAGGCACAAGAUAUAGACAUUAUUGAUGACUCUCCAAAGUAUUAAUCUAGUGGACACUUAACCCUGCCCAGCUGCAUGGAUUUUGGUGCUGCUCAUAUCUGGAAUUAAAGCAUAUCAGUGAUUUGUAUGGCGUGCACGUUUACACUUAUACUCAGUGUAUUGCUGCUAAAUUGACUACCGUGUCCAAAUAAAUACUAAAAAUAAUAUACAUACCAAAUAAAUACUAAUAAUACUAAAUUUUAAGGUUUUGGCCAUAAGCAGAUGAUUCUUAGAAAGGCUUCUGGCCUUCAUCACCACAUCUUGCGUUCUGAUUAAAGCAUGUUUGCUUUCUUGGAGGGGGCCUAUUUUCACUGUAGGUGAAUUUGCUUGGCACAAAGAAAAAAAAGAAACUCAUCUGGUUUAGUCCUAACUAUACAUGAUUUUUAUUUGUUUGUUUUAAACUUAAAGCUUCGUCUUCUCUGCUGUGCUUAAUUUUAUCCACUGAGUUUUUUGAAGUUGAAUUUAAACAUUAGAGUGAAAUAGUCUUUGGUAACAAGCUGUUACAAGUGGUUGCCAAAUGGUCUUUUUGUAGAAGGACAUACUACAGCAUUAUAUACCUCAAAUUGAUGCAUCUGUUUAUCUCCACACCACAUAACAACAGAUGUCAGUAAAGCACAGUUAGGAUAAGAAGUGUUGCUUUACAAACAUCCUUUCAGCUUCAGGUUAUUUAUUCUGUGCUGCAAAAUUGACAAAGUCAAGUGGGAGGAUAAAGCAUUCAUCUUUUAGGGUCACACUGAAAUGAAAUGGAACUUUCAUUAUAAUAAGUCAUACUUUAUCCCUUCCAUGCUGUAAGAGAUACAGACUGUAACUAUAGCUUGAGCUAUUUUUCCUUCUGUUCCACAGGUUACAGACCGAUUAAGAAUGCUGCUGUUGUGCUGUGUGCUACUGAGAACAUGUAAAUUUCAGUGGUUUUUUUUUUCCUAUACAGUUUAGAACUGUUCCACAGGUUUCAAAUAUAUACAGGUAGUUCAGGAAACUCAUUAAAAGCAUUCUUCAGAAAGCUAGUGCCUCUUUAGAUUCUACUUUGUCACUUCUCUUGGAUGCUAAGUAGGAGUAAGGCUUCAUCAAAACGAGCAGAGUAUUAAAAAAAAAGUACAAUCCAAAACUGAAUAGAGAUGAGUUUUUAACUCACACUAACUAUAGCUUUUGUUUCAGUAAUUAUGUGAUCUUAGGCUCUUUUGGAAGAAGCGAUGAGAUGUGGAUGUAGUGUGUGACAGCAGUAUAGGGGCAGCUGAGGGGAAGCAGUGUGGAGGAUAAUUAAGUUUGCUCUAAUCACGCUAUUGUGCGUCCAAUCCCCAACACCCCCCAAUCCAAAAAAAGCAAGUUUGUAAGUCUGCACAUACUCACUGUGGAAGCUUGAUGUGUGGGGUCUUCAUAUGGGGCUGGAGAAGGUGGCAGAAAUUCCCUCACCAGAAGUGUCAGUGGGAGUCAAAGUACAGCUCCAAUGCAGGUGAUGCUACUAAAAUUACAGGACAAAAGCACCAGACGUUGGUGGUAGUGCUUGUAAUGCGAAUGCUAGAGCUCCUCCACGUGGUUAAAGCUGUGCACUGUGCACAGGCUGGGCCCUCAGCCCUGGGCUGCAGCGGCCAGAUCAUUAGAGAAAGUUUUGGCAGUGAACCUGGUGAGCUUCAUUCAAUGCUCCGUGAUAGCUGCACAAUUACAGUACCAUUUUCUUCACUUUUACUGCUUCGCAGAUUUUUAAAUACAAGCACGUGGUGACUGGAAAAACACUACUUUGAACACAGCAGUUGAUAAGGAAAUAUGUAUUUCUUGAAAUAUAAAAAUCAUGAAGUGUUUACUGCUAAAGUAGUGAGCGUGCUGGUGGCAGCACAAACUUUGCUGUACUCAGGUAUGAUAUCAUCAGCAUGGUGACUUCAGUACAAGGAUGUAUGCCAUAGCAGAUUCACAUGAAGCUGAGAAGAUACCAAAUCAGUAGAGGCUGUGCCAGGAGCAUAAUUUAUCAGGCAUGCAGCAUGUCAAGCUUCUCUGCCCACGUGUGCCAGGAAUACGUAAUGUGUAACAUCAGGGAAGCCUGGCAGUUCUCACUCCUUGAAAAGACAAUGCAACUUAGGUAAGAUCAUUUUUAGAAGCUGAUAGAAAUAACCAUUAACUGCAGAACUGGUGUGAAGCACAGCACUGCUGGGUUAGAUUCUGCAUGAAUGUCACACAACACCUUCAAGAGACAGUUUGGACUAGAAUUUUUGAUUCUUUUAAUUUUAUACCUUUCUAUUAUUAAACAGAAUAGUAAAAAAGACAGUAAGUACCUACCAGAGUAACGUACCAUCAAUAAAACUGCUUUUCUCCUGUAGCUAAAAGGCAGGAUAUGUGAUGAUCUUUCAUAAGGUGUAUUUGUUGCAGAAUGAGGUUUUCCUAGUGCCCUGUGUGCAGUUCACCAUCGAUCUCAAGCCAGACUGUUGCACAGAACCACAAGAUAACAAUUGGAUGUCAUUCAAAACAUUUUUUCAAGGACAUUUUUGACCUUAAGUAAUAGAUAGCCCUUCCUGACCUGUAAUAAUGAAAGGAUUUUGUUUCUGGAAGCUAAAAGCAGACAAAUGCUCCAGAAGCUGCACAUACCUAACAGGAAAGUCUUACGGCAGCAGUAGAAAAUAGUUCAGAAUUUCCUAUAACAGAACUUAAUUGAGAAGUCCUACUGCCAAUAGCAAUAAUAAUAAUAAAAGCUUUUUAGGCUUUUAGAUAACUCCAUCUAUGGGUGGUGAAAUGCUACAGAUUAUAAUAUGUACAGUAAUUUUAGUAUCCUCCUGGGUUCAUUUUAAAAAAGGAAACUGACAAGUAUCCUACGUAUUUUAUACGCUUUAUAUUCUUUAAAUACCUUUUUUUGUACAGUAACAUCUGUCUAGCUUUUCCAAAGCGCUUAAAACAUUUUCAGCACAUCAGAGAAGCAGCAGCUUCACCUUAAAGAUCCACCUGAAUUGAAAUGCCUUGGACUUCAUGGAUUCACUAAAUGACAGAUUGAAAACAGCAAGGCAGCAUUCUCUAUAGCAAGGCUGAGUGGGCAGAGGUCUCAGCAGUGCCUCUUCAUGUAGGAAUGGGCUCCUUGCAUCAAUUCUGCUCAGCUGGGGAAGGAUUGCAUGUAGGAAUAAGAGACUCUGAAAGGACUGUCAGCAUCCUUACCAAAUAUUUGCUUGACAGAAAGAUGUCUAACCAAGCUAAUUCAAAGGAUGUGAUAUGUCUCAGUGCUUCAUUGUCAUUUGCCUUUGUCACAGCGCUACUGUUGUAAUUUAUUUCUGUUUCGGACAUUAGGACCAACUGCUUGUGUCCAUGUGCAUCAGAAGCAUGCGUUCUGAUUUGUAAGUGGUUACAAGCAAGACUUUAAAUGUGAUUCACCAAAAUUUGUCAUCAAUAUUUGUACAAAGGAUUCUGGAGUAAAGCUCUGAGGGGGCCGGGAAGUACUUUUAUUUUUUUCUCUGCUUAAGGAAUAACGUCAUCCCUUUGUAUAUUAAUGCAUUGGAUCACGCGUUGUGUUUUUUUGGCAGGGACAUUAACAUGCAUUAAGAGCUCUUGUUCUAUCAAGGCUUUGUUUGAUGACUGGUCUAAAAACCUCAGUUCAGAAUUGGGAUGAAGUAUGAGUACAUGUAUUUAAUGUUUGGAAAUCUGCAUUUCAGUAAACACUUCCAGCUACCUUAGAAAUUAUGUUGAUAAAAUGAUCAGUUUUCCUCUUCAGCUCUGUUCUCAAGAUGUCCUUGCUAAGAAGGGGACUGUAAGUCACAUCAAUCUGGCAAGUAUUUUGAUUUCAGUAUUGUAAGACUUUUUAGCUUGAGGUCACGUUGAGCUCUGGUAAUGUAGAAAUUGGCUUUAAAGCUCUAUCAGGAGCAGUCAGAGGAGCCCAAUUGUUUCUGAUCUAAGGCAAUGUAUAUUUUAAGUGGCGUUUUGGUAAGGCAGUUUAACAAUUAAUGUUAUGUUAUAAGGCCUUAAUAAGUUUAUUAAAAAUAAUAUUUCUAAAAUAGUGUAAGUAGAAUAAAAAAUAGUGAUUUCUUAAGAAUUAUAAAUAUUAGGGUCUUAGACUGAGCCAUGUAAAUCAGCUGCAUGGUUAUGAUCCUAGAUUUUAUUACUUUAACUUCUGAAGAAAUGUAGAUCUGCAUGAUGUUGCUCAUAGACAUUUUCUUAUAUUUCAGAUGAGAGAUUACAUGUGUGGAAUGCUAGUAGUAUUUUUCCUGUAACAGACAAAUUUAAUGACUACAGUUGCUAUGACUGCUGCAGCUUGCUAAAGAUUGUCUAAAGAUUAAAUACAUUAAGACCCAAACAGUUGGUAAACUUUUGAAAUGAAGGAAUCUUUACAGUAACGUUAUUGCAUGACUGGAGAGAGAGGGGAAUUUUUUUUUUCCCCCCUGUGACCAGUAUUGUACACUGUAAAUGUCUGCAGUUCACUUAAGUUGUUUUUAUUAAAGCACCAUUCUUUGGACAUCACCUCUGAAGAUGCCUGCACUGUGGGAUGAGGUAGUAGGUUGUAUAGUUUUAGGGUCAUACCCACAACUGGGAGAUAACUAUACAAUCUACUGUCUUUCCUAAAGCAGCAGAAAAAUCAACAAUGGAGACUGUUCAAUUUUAAGUUCAGUGUCAGAUUCUACCAAACUUCUGCACUUGGAGUGUUUAUUAUAGGAGACAAAUAUUUCUGCAACAUCUACAGCUUUUCUAGCAAGUGAGACUUAAACAAUGGAAUACAAAGAUUAAAGUGUUGUAUGGCCAAAAUGCAUCCCUUCAACUGUUUAGAAGAAUGUAAAGCUAUGAAAUUUGAGUGCUCAAGAUCCAAAAUUGUAACUUUUGUCUGAAGAGGUUACUGUUUCUAGAAGAAGGCAUUUAGAGAUUGUGUUCUUUUUCCCCAGUAAGCCUUAGCUGUACCCCAUCUAGCUGCUUCUGCCCUAGAGUGACUAACUAACUAAUAUCUUCCUAUAACAAGGAAGAAAAAAACAAACAAACAUGAAAACACUUUUUGGGACUGAAAGUUUAGCAUAGUAAGAGUGAAAAUGGAGCCAUUAAUGAGUAUUUAAGCCAGGAGUGUUACUAGUUAACCACUUGUUAAACAGUGCUAACUGUAAACUUGCAGUACAUGCCCUGGCCUAAAAAUGCAGAAGACCAAAAGCAGCUGGUAAGCUAAGCUGACUUCACAAAGCAGCUGCUAAGCAAGAAGAACUGCAAAAAGGAAGCAUUGGGCUCCUAGGAAGAGGUAGUAGGUUGCAUAGUUCUAGGGCAGGGAUUUUGCUCACAAGGAGGUAACUGUACAACCUGCUGCCUUUCUUAGGGCUUUAUUAUAACACCAGGACCAUUUUGGCUCCAUCCUAACCUCUGCAGCUUUGUUAUGUGAAGAGAAAUGAAGCUGUGUCUAAGCAUACUGAGGUUUAAUGAAACUGGUGUCUCAGCAAAUUUGGUACAGACUUGAGCAUAGUACUAUUAACUGGAAUUCAGUAUUGUGAAAUACUGUAUUUCAAGGCACACGUGUCAUUUUGUUGAUACUAGCGUUGUGAUAACUUACAAGGAAAAUACUGAAAAAAAUUCCAAGACUAAAAUCAAAUUCCCUACAAUUAGGAUGGAGGUGUUACAUACUUCUUUACAUUCAGUUAAGUACUUAUGCUACGUACUUGCAGACAGCUAUAACACACCUUCUUUUGGCUUUGUGAAGUUUCCAAGGAUCAACUUAAAACUCACCUGAAAGCUGGUGGGUUCCUGCAAGCAGGAAUAGGCUCUCCCAAUAAAUCACACUCUGUCAUGAAAUACUUGCAGUCCUACAGGAGUGUCUUCAAAGUGAAUGACUGCAUAUCUGCUAUGGAGUUGUAUGUUGAGAAGUAGAUGAUUAUUUAUUUUUUUACAUAAUUACAGUGCAGUACCACCGUUGUUCUUGUAGGACUUCAUCCAGAUGUGCUCUGCUGUGGGAUACAGAGACCCUUAAGUGCUGAUCAUCUUGUAAGAUUAAUGGUUUAUGCUUACAGCAGCCAGUUUUUAAAGUUCUGGCAAGACAGAAUCCUAGAUAUUAUAAACCUAUUUAGUAUGCUAAUGGAAAUUGUCUAUUCAUUGAAGUGUACACACUUGAUUUACUCAAUAAAGGAACUUUAUGGAACUCUUA
This is a non-coding RNA of Phasianus colchicus (ring-necked pheasant), 8748 nucleotides long. The record is from RefSeq and is a predicted model, not a curated record. Lineage: Eukaryota; Metazoa; Chordata; Aves; Galliformes; Phasianidae.